CCACAAACCAAAUCCAAAUCCCCAGAAAGGUAAUUUUCCCUUUCAUAGUAAUUAAACCAAUAGAAACUCGUCUGCACCGCAUAAACAGUUUGCUCUGUAGAGUCAUUAUAAUUACAUUUUUCCUGAUAAACUGAAUAACAGUAUUUUCUCAUUUUAUUGGCAUUAAAUUCUGCCGAAGCCAAAAGAAGAGCAGUCGAGUCCAGCUCUAGUCUCAGCUGGAAGCAGGUUGACGUCUGCUGUCAGGUGAAGAUGUGCUUAAAGUACUUGUGGAAAACACAUAGUAACAUUUUACAACAUCGAGCUACGAGGGCAACGCACGCGCCGUAAAUCACGGAAGUUCCACCGUGAGUGGAAACACUUAAAAACGGGGUUUUGUUUGUGUUAAACAGUAAAUUUACCGAUUGUGCUGCGCGUUGUUCUCCGUCGACCUCCCACUGCAGCUUAAUGUGUUUUGGAAGAACGUCAUAAAAAUCGGAAAAAUAAAAAUAACUGUUUUGUUUUAUUGCUGCUUCAGCGAUGAAGAAGCAGAUGGUUUUAAGAGAGUGUGUUUCAACUUUAUUUCCGCUAAACCCCGGGAGAUUAGCUCGUCGUCUCUCUCGUGCGCGUGAGGCCCAAGUGAAAAUCACUUAAGCGCAGAGCUGAAAGUCCUGAACAGACGCAAGUGAACGGAGUGGACCUGGUUAAUACGGCGAUGAAUUGAGGCCAGUGCGUGGAAAGUGCAGACGCUCCCUCGGUUCCAGGGAGUUUCCAGUCGCUCCUCCCGCCGUUCUGCUGCGUGUGUCUGCAGACAGUUCAGAGGUCGGAGGUCGGGUACAUCCAGGCCCCAGUGGAUCCACGAGGGAGUCAGUGUCUGGGAACCCUUCAGCUGGAACCGAAUCAGUUGGUGAGAUAACAUUGUUAAACCGCAUCGUGGCUCCCUUCAUAACAGUCAUAAGAGGCUAAGUGUCAAUCCAGUGUAAACAUGGUAGGCAGGUGUACCAAGAGCCAAAGAUCCAUCAUCAUAUAUGCAGUGACUGUGUGCUGCUGCUGAAACCUCCAACCACCGUAAAUAACACCACAAUAAAAGCACAGGGAAGAACUGUCUUUGGUGCA
This 1092-nucleotide long non-coding RNA is filed under the name Betta splendens (Siamese fighting fish). RNAcentral describes it as "lncRNA (ENSBSLG00000018732.1)". Lineage: Eukaryota; Metazoa; Chordata; Actinopteri; Anabantiformes; Osphronemidae. The record is from RNAcentral.